AUUGAACGCUGGCGGCAUGCCUUACACAUGCAAGUCGAACGGCAGCACGGGAGCAAUCCUGGUGGCGAGUGGCGAACGGGUGAGUAAUAUAUCGGAACGUGCCCAGUCGUGGGGAUAACGUAGCGAAAGCUACGCUAAUACCGCAUACGAUCUAUGGAUGAAAGCGGGGGAUCGCAAGACCUCGCGCGAUUGGAGCGGCCGAUAUCAGAUUAGGUAGUUGGUGGAGGUAAAGGCUCACCAAGCCGACGAUCUGUAGCUGGUCUGAGAGGACGACCAGCCACACUGGGACUGAGACA
This 296-nucleotide ribosomal RNA is filed under the name uncultured bacterium. RNAcentral's name for it is "partial 16S ribosomal RNA". It matches the Rfam family "Bacterial small subunit ribosomal RNA", at positions 30 to 326 of the family's 1533-position model. The record is from RNAcentral.